AUUGAACGCUGGCGGCAGGCCUAACACAUGCAAGUCGAACGAGUGGCGGACGGGUGAGUAAUGUCUGGGAAACUGCCUGAUGGAGGGGGCUAACUACUGGAAACGGUAGUUAAUACCGCAUACCAUCAGAUGUGCCCAGAUGGGAUUAGCGAGUAGGUGGGGGAAUGGCUCACCUAGGCGCCGAUCCCUAGCUGGUCUGAGAGGAUGACCAGCCACACUGUAACUGAGACACGUUCCAGACUCCUACGGGAGGCAGCAGUGGGGAAUAUUGCACAAUGGGCGCAAGCCUGAUGCAGCCAUGCCGCGUGUGUGAAGAAGGCCUUCGGGUUGUAAAGCACGUUCAGCGAGGAGGCGUUACUCGCAGAAGAAGCACCGGCUAACUCCGUGCCAGCAGCCGCGGUAAUAC
RNAcentral lists this ribosomal RNA (406 nucleotides) under uncultured bacterium. RNAcentral describes it as "partial 16S ribosomal RNA". It matches the Rfam family "Bacterial small subunit ribosomal RNA", at positions 30 to 526 of the family's 1533-position model. The record is from RNAcentral.